This 71-nucleotide transfer RNA is filed under the name Caligus rogercresseyi. Its description in RNAcentral is "tRNA-Pro". Lineage: Eukaryota; Metazoa; Arthropoda; Copepoda; Siphonostomatoida; Caligidae. The record is from RNAcentral.
GGGCUCAGCCGGGAUUUGAACCCGGGACCUCGCGCACCCGAAGCGCGAAUCAUACCCUAGACCACUGAGCC